Non-coding RNA from Pimephales promelas (fathead minnow), 1089 nucleotides. NCBI's taxonomy places the organism in Eukaryota, Metazoa, Chordata, Actinopteri, Cypriniformes, Leuciscidae. The record is from RefSeq and is a predicted model, not a curated record.
CUCUCUCUCUCUCUCUCUCUCUCUCUCUCUGAAGUGCAAGGCCAUGUGGGACGUCUGAUGAGGAGUUUCACCCCUCUACGUCUCCAGUUUCAUAUCUCUUUCCCUCUCCCCCGUUCAUUGGCUUCCCGUACGGGUUCCUCGAGCCCCGCUGUCUCAAGGUGGAGACCCGCUGGAAAGAGAGUGCAAGAGGGAAAAAAAGAGAGAAAAGAAACCUUUUUUUUUGUUUUGCCACGAGGGCCUCCUGACUAAAGCGUCCUCCACAAACCUGCUCCCGCUUUUCCUGCGCUUUCCCAUGCACCUGAUUGAAGAUAUUGCUUCACAGGCUCCUGUUUUCACACAUUUCUUUUCCGAUUUCAGCGAGCGGGCGAAUCCAGGUGCCAGUCGACAUGGGACAGGUGCCAGUCGCCCUCGGAAGGUGUCCGAAAACGUCGGGAGUGUAAGGAAAACGCCAUGGUUGCGAAGGGGAGGAUCGUGGGGGGGGGGCGUUUAUUCGACACUCCUCGGGCCUCCGCGCUCCGCGACCAUUUGCAUGCGACAGACACGCUAAUUGUGUGUUUGCUAACACGCAGCAUUCAGCGAGACGCGCUCCGGUCCGCAGACGGGGUUCACACACACCUCCCAGACGCCCCGGAGGCCUCCUAUUGUUCCAGAGGCCCAGACGAGCCCAUCCAGAGCCUGUCGAGGGGACCGGGAACGGGACGGCUCGAGGAAUAGCAGCCCUUUUCUCUCUGCAGCAAAACAGCCGAAGAAAAAGAGGCCUGAGGAAAGCACUGCCUCCGGACGCUGACGUCCUCGCAGAUGUGUGCAGUGGGGAAGUUUGAAAUGGACUAAUCGAGAUCAGGGGUUUUAGGAGAAACAUCCGAGAUGAAGUCUCCAUCGGAUCCGAAUGCGCAUUGAUGCAGAAGGAUGAAGACGGCAGUAAUCAGACUGAAAUGAGUUUAAAACUCUUCCCGAACAGGUGCCAGUUCAAAUGCACCCACACUCGCCUUCAUUCACUGAUGCUUUUGUGUUUUUUAGUCUGUGUUUACCCUUCAAUUGGUAAAUUUGUAAAAUUGGUCAAUUUAAACACUAGGUUCUGCAUUCAUUUCU